UUUCCGUAGGUGAACCUGCGGAAGGAUCAUUCAUAAUAAAGUGUUUUAUGGCACUUUCUAAAAAUCCAUAUCCACCUUGUGUGCAAUGUUAGAUCUCGUCAAUCUUGGCGAGAUUUUUAUACAUCAACUCAUUCUUUAACUAAUUUGUCUGAAGAAUGUUAUGAAUACUUAAUUCAAAAUACAACUUUCAACAACGGAUCUCUUGGCUCUC
This 211-nucleotide unclassified non-coding RNA is filed under the name plant metagenome. Its description in RNAcentral is "partial contains small subunit ribosomal RNA, internal transcribed spacer 1, and 5.8S ribosomal RNA". The record is from RNAcentral.